UACGGAGGGUGCAAGCGUUAAUCGGAAUUACUGGGCGUAAAGCGCGCGUAGGCGGUUUGGUCAGUUGGAUGUGAAAGCCCCGGGCUUAACCUGGGAACUGCAUUCAAUACUGCCAGACUAGAGUACGGAGAGAGGGGGUAGAAUUUCUAGUGUAGCGGUGAAAUGCGUAGAUAUUAGAAGGAAUACCAGUGGCGAAGGCGGCCCCCUGGCUCGAUACUGACGCUGAGGUGCGAAAAGCGUGGGGAGCAAACAGAUUAGAUACCCGUGUAGUC
This 272-nucleotide ribosomal RNA is filed under the name uncultured bacterium. RNAcentral's name for it is "partial 16S ribosomal RNA". It matches the Rfam family "Bacterial small subunit ribosomal RNA", at positions 524 to 795 of the family's 1533-position model. The record is from RNAcentral.